GCCCAACAGGACCCAUAUACAUAUAGAACAGAAGCCUUGAGCUUCACAGGCUCGGACCAGAGUAACCAUAUACUUGCCCUCAAGGCCACUAUAUUUUACAAAACCAUAUCUCACAUUGUACUAGUACACCACCACUCAUAACAUAUGCACAUGAUGGAAGUAAGAGUCUCAAACAAACUUUAAAUACAAAACGAGGAUCAAGACACAAUCUUCGAUAUCUACCUGGCGUCGUCACCAUGAUGACCGACCCCGGAGCUCGAUGAUACCAUUUUGCAGUGUGUGACCCAGUAAAGCCUACUGUCGCUCUGAAAUGGAAAGUAAGGGUCAGUGCUAAUCACUAAGUGAGGAUCUACGUCCUAAUUACUCUAUGGUACAAAUAUUCAUAUAGAAAUUAUACAACAUAUAACACAUAAGGCUAACGCUAUAAUCUAACUUAUAUCCAUAUUUUAUUUGAGAUCCCGGCUCACAUAUGCUGACGACUCACGUAGAGUUAGUGGCACUAAAAUGGCCCACGUAGAGUUAGUGUGGCGCUUAAGGUCCAUUAUACCUCGGAGCUAGCUUUCCUUUUCUCCCAAAUCGCAUUAGACCUUUCCAAGGAGAUACCUUAAGAAAAACCUUUUCCCCCCCCUCAUCCGCGUAACAGAAGUGCAAUAAGCACAAUCGCCAGCAUACGUGCCCUAACUAAGUGAUCAAUCAAUUACAAGAUUUAUUCAUUAAUUAGUAAUAGCUACUGCUCAUAUUAACACAUAUAUUAAAUCAGAUAUAUCAGCAAAGUAACAGAACAUGUAUCAUAUUAAGUAAUAAAUAUGGUAGAGAUGCAUAUAAAAUCUUAAGAUUAAACGGACAUUACCCUAUCAUGCAUAUAGCCUUAAUAAUAAUAAACUCAUAAUGGAACGUCUAACCCGGUCAGAUACGCAGGAGACCCUCACCAGAAAUAAUCCUUGAGAAUACCGGUAAUAACUUCCGAGUUGAGCUCGUAUGUAAUUCAAAGGACUUGAAUUAUGAACAAGGUAUAAGGCAUUGGCUUCUUCUAUAUUUCCUCUAUUUAAGUAUCCUA
RNAcentral lists this long non-coding RNA (1057 nucleotides) under Linum usitatissimum (flax). RNAcentral describes it as "long non-coding RNA (LUSI_LNC005050)". Lineage: Eukaryota; Viridiplantae; Streptophyta; Magnoliopsida; Malpighiales; Linaceae. The record is from RNAcentral.